RNAcentral lists this long non-coding RNA (1526 nucleotides) under Heterocephalus glaber (naked mole-rat). RNAcentral's name for it is "lncRNA (ENSHGLG00000044570.1)". The record is from RNAcentral. Lineage: Eukaryota; Metazoa; Chordata; Mammalia; Rodentia; Bathyergidae.
AAUAUAUCUGGAGUUCAGCCAUUCAGGCACUCAUAGGCCACUAAGGCCAUGGUCCAAGGGGCCAGGUUAAUGCUCAAGCUGGUGGUAGACCUUGGUAUCAUUCACAUGGUGCUGGUUUUUCAGUCAUGCAGAAUGCAAGAGUUGUGAGGUCAUGGAGGCUUCCAGCCAGAUUUCAGAAGAAGGCUUGGGAGGCCAGGCAGUGUGUCCCUGAGAGGGCGAUGUGCAAAGCUAUGAGAGUGAAGGCAAAAGAGCAAUGGAGACUCCCAAGAAGUUGGAGAUGCCCGGAACAUGAGAUAUCUGCCAAAGAAAACUAGGAAGCAAGGAGAGCCAGCCUGAGAGAGGGCAUGGAUUGAACUCAGGACCUUGUGCUUGCCAGGAAGCCACCAGCACCACUGAGCUAAAUCCCCGGCCCGGAGUGAACAGUGGAGAACGAAAUGUACUUCUGCCUUACCAAACCUGUGGCCCUUGAAGGGCAAUGCUUUCUAUCUGGUCCAAAACAUUUUUAAAUAUAUCUCAGCUAAGUUACCCAGGCUGGCUUUGAAUUCCUGGGCUCAAGUGAUUCUCCUGCAUCAACCUCCCACGUAGCCAGGACUACAGGUGUGUGCUACCAUGCUGGGCUCUAAGAGAAUUUCUAAAACAAUGGACAAGAAAACAACAUAUGCCAAGGCAAGUGGCCGUGACACAGCAAGAAAAGCUUGAGAAAAUCAGAUGAGAGAUUUUCUAAAAGUAAGAUUUUACAACAGAGAAAUUAGGUCAUUUUGACCUUUUAAAUUUGUAUAAUGACCACAUUGAGAACACUGAUAUCUGCUCAGUACUUUGCCACCUACGAUCCCAGGCCCUGGAUUUAUAAGAUAAGUAGGAAUCAGAUAUUUCAAACAACUUGACCUUUUGUUGUAACCUUUAUUCCAGCCAAACCAUUGCUGUUCCCCAGCACCAGCUUCUGAACUUUUCCUUGUGGAUUCCCACCAUAUUACUUUCUUGAAAAUUGUCUCAUCUAUCCUUGGAUCUCAUUUCAAAUGCUGCCUAACUCAGGACACCAUUUAUCUCCCCCAAAGGUCUGAGCCUUGUCACUUCUCAUGCCUCCCUUUGGAUCUUUCUGUUUAGUUGACUUUCCUUGCUGUCACUUGCAUGCUUGCAUGUCUUUAGCCUGGGAUGCAAAAGUCCAUGAGGGCCAGGAACGAUGUCUUAUCCAUCUUUUCAUCCCCCUUAGAAAUUCAUGCCCCACACAUUUCACACAUAGUACAUGUCAUCUAAAUAUUAAUGAAUUUGAAUUUAGCUAGUCAAACCAUCUUUUGUCUUAUAGACAUAGAGAGUGAGAGCUAAUCCAUAGUUAGUUGUAAAGAGUUCUGGAUCAUUGAAUGAAAGCUGCUUUUCAGCAGAUCAUAAUUGUGCAAGGCUGUUAAGUGUAGACUUUUGAUGAACAGGUUUUGCUCUGUUGCUGAGUUCAUGUUGCCAUGACAACCUUAACUUUUGGCACUUUCUGAAUUUAGUGUCCUACUUAAUUUCCCGUGUUUGGCUCUGAGAAC